GUGCCUAAUACAUGCAAGUCGAACGGUCUUUCUAUGGAAGCUUGCUUCCACUGAGAAGAUAGUGGCGAACGGGUGAGUAACACGUGGGUAACCUGCCCAUAAGAGGGGGAUAACAUCCGGAAACGGGUGCUAAUACCGCAUAGUUUUCUUGAUUGCAUGAUUGAGAAAGGAAAGACGGCCUUUGUGCUGUCGCUUAUGGAUGGACCCGCGGCGUAUUAGUUAGUUGGUGAGGUAACGGCUCACCAAGACGAUGAUACGUAGCCGACCUGAGAGGGUGAUCGGCCACAUUGGGACUGAGACACGGCCCAAACUCCUACGGGAGGCAGCAGUAGGGAAUCUUCCGCAAUGGACGAAAGUCUGACGGAGCAACGCCGCGUGAGUGAAGAAGGUUUUUUCGGAUCGUAAAACUCUGUUGUCAGAGAAGAACAAGUUGGAGAGUAACUGCUCCAGCCUUGACGGUAUCUGACCAGAAAGCCACGGCUAACUACGUGCCAGCCGCAGC
Molecule: ribosomal RNA, 502 nt
Filed under: uncultured bacterium
Lineage: Bacteria
Description: bacterial SSU rRNA
Rfam family: Bacterial small subunit ribosomal RNA
Source: RNAcentral